RNAcentral lists this ribosomal RNA (467 nucleotides) under uncultured bacterium. Its description in RNAcentral is "partial 16S ribosomal RNA". It matches the Rfam family "Bacterial small subunit ribosomal RNA", at positions 28 to 506 of the family's 1533-position model. The record is from RNAcentral.
GACGAACGCUGGCGGCGUGCUUAACACAUGCAAGUCGAACGGAAAGGCCCUGCUUUUGUGGGGUGCUCGAGUGGCGAACGGGUGAGUAACACGUGAGUAACCUGCCCUUGACUUUGGGAUAACUUCAGGAAACUGGGGCUAAUACCGGAUAGGAGCUCCUGCUGCAUGGUGGGGGUUGGAAAGUUUCGGCGGUUGGGGAUGGACUCGCGGCUUAUCAGCUUGUUGGUGGGGUAGUGGCUUACCAAGGCUUUGACGGGUAGCCGGCCUGAGAGGGUGACCGGCCACAUUGGGACUGGGAUACGCCCCAGACUCCUCCGGGGGGCAGCAGUGGGGAAUAUUGCACAAUGGGGGGAAGCCGGAUGCAGCAACGCCGCGUGCGGGAUGACGGCCUUCGGGUUGUAAACCGCUUUCGCCUGUGACGAAGCGUGAGUGGCUGUAAUGGGUAAAGAAGCACCGGCUAACUACGU